Molecule: long non-coding RNA, 3824 nt
Organism: Melopsittacus undulatus (budgerigar)
Lineage: Eukaryota; Metazoa; Chordata; Aves; Psittaciformes; Psittaculidae
Source: Ensembl
AUGACUGCUCAGCCUCACAGGAGAACUAGAUCUGUAUUGUCAAUGUCACCAGGCACAAAGGCAACUAGAUGGUGUAAAUGUUUCUUGUGGCUUGGGGAUGUUCUUUCGUGUCAGAGUUCCAUAGUUUAUGAAGAUUACCUUCCUGCCACUGUGCUUCCCAGCCUGCUUUCAAAGGCAAAGGUGUACUUCAGUGAGGAGUACCUUUGCCUGAAUUCCAGAGGGUGCUUCUCAGUGGUAACAGAACUGUAUGGAAUGGCUUUUCAUGUAAAUCCCUUUGCAGAAUGGAGGGUCUUGGUUGUUCAUUGCACCUUUGUGCUGUGGCUAAAUUUGGCAGAAGCAGUAAUUCAAGACAAAGUCUGUACAAAGCCAGUUGCUUCUGCACUGACAGGAAAAUCCACCACUCUUUCAGAAUCAUAAAACUGACUAUGUUGGAAAAGACCUUUAAGAUCAUCAGGUCCAACCCAGGACUGCCAAGCCCACCACUAAGCCAUAUCACUGAGGACCUCAUCUGCACGGUUUUUGAACACUUCCAGAGAUGGUGAUUCCACCACUUUCCUGUGAAGACUGUUCCAAUACCUGAUUACCCUCCCUGUGAAGAAACUUUUCCUGAUAUCUAAUCUAAACCUCCCCUGGUGCAGCUUGAUGCCAUUACCUCUUGUCCUAUUGCUUGUUACUCAGAAGAGACUGACCCCACCUCACUACAACCUCCUUUCAGCUAGUUGUAGAAAGCGAUAGAGAGCACUUCAGCACCUCAAUGCCUUUCCUGAAGUAGGGGCACAGAACUGAAUGCUGAAUGAGGGGCUGAGUCGGGAUUUCAAAUGCCAAGUUGCACACGGAGGAACUGAAAUACCUUCUAUCAGAAAAUAGUGUGAAUUGAGCGUUACUGAGUUAAUGACCUGGAAAGCAUCUUUCUCAAGUGCCUUGAGGAUGUUUCUGAAAAUAAGACUGUAUGUUAAGUAAUUUGGUUGAAUUUUAUCUAAUUAGAGCUACCUCUGAUUUCCUUUUCAAGGUGCAGCAUUUAUUGAUCCUUCUCAGACUGGUAUUUUUCAAUUAGGACAGUAUUGAACCACAACUUAUGUUAUUUCAGGUAUAAUUAAAAGACUUUUUUUUUUCCCUGGAACACAAUCUGAAAACAAAUGGCAAAUAAAAUUUGUUAUUUUGAUAUUUCUCCAGCUAUGUGCAACAUAGAUAUUAGCAUAAAUUAGCCUAAUUGGGUCAGCUUGUACUUAAAUUUCUGGACAAUAAAGCUUUUCCCUUCUGUACCAAUCUCUUCCUGCAAGCCACAAUUUAAAAAGGAGAUUAUGAUUUUCUAGUUAGAGUGGGUAAGAAUAUAUUAAAUAUUAAUAACACAUAAUUUAGGUCUGUAGCUCACAUUCAGUUUGAAUUGCUUCAAACUGAACUUGUUUUGUUUUUCUGACUUUAUUAAUUUAAAAUAAUGUUCUUACUUCAUAGUUCGUGUUUUUUAAUAUGGGGAAUUUUUCUGAUUUAACAAAGGGCUGCUAGUCUGUUCAGUGUGGUUUGAUUUAAGUUGGUGGGUUUUGUUUUGUGUUUGGUUUUCUGUAAUAUCACUGUUCUGCAACAUCUUAAAUUACUUUUCGUGAAGACAGCACCCGGUCAGCUUGUUACGCAGCCACAAGAUGUCAUGAGAAGCCGUGCCUCGCUGCAGGAAGAGUGAGUGUGCUCUGCGAGUGCUUUGUGAGCCCUCGCAAGGGGCCAAGUUGAGCAGUAGUUCUGGAACGAGGUGUUCUGAAAACAUCUCAGUUCUCCAUACAACUAUUGCAGUGUCUCAACUUCUUCAGUGAACCCUUUCAUAUUAGGGUUAGGCUUGAAACAAGUGACUAGUAACUGCUUGAACUGUCUUCUAGCAUGCCCUGAAGCAGCAGAUGUAAGGGUGCCUUAAGGUUCCCAAGAUGUAGCCUGCCCUGUAACAUUAAGCACUAUAGAACUGAAAGGUUCUCUAUGUAGUAACCAUAAUUGUGCAUGCUGGAAGAGGUCUGGUUUGUGGCUUGGGUUUUGCAGGGGUUUGGUUGGUUUAGUGGUUUUUUUUCUCCUCUGAAUUUACUCCAGUAAGAGGAGAAAUGUGUUUCCAGGAACUGGUAAGGACUUUUUCCCAUUAAAUCCAGGAAUGUCCCAGAGUUUGCACUUUUGCUUCUGCUUUUAAAUUCCCAGAUGAAUUUCCUCUUUGAAAGCUACAUAUUAUCUUGAAAAAGCUGUCAAGCAGCAACUUUGCAUAAACUAAGCAUUUAAUAUGCUAGUGUGCCCGGAGAGUUCUUGAAAGGUCUCAUGGGAGCAGUAUUGACUCCUGAGUUGUAUCUCAGCGUGAGUCAGGGAAGCUCAGCAAAACAGUAUCACAAAAAGAAACCACAGCUUUCUGGUAGGAGGGAUUAAAAAUCCCUCAGGAUAAGUGUCCAAAGUCAGUAAGACAGUAUUUUUCUCAGGAUCCAAGGCUGUGAGGGCCAACAAAUAUUACUUGGUCUACAGAGUUGGACAGGGAAAGACCUUGGUUCAGAAGAGCACAGAAAGUUGGCAGGAUGUGAAAAGUGAGGGAAAGAUUCCAGCUAAUUUGUGUUAAUCCAGUAAUUUGGAUUCUAGACACAAAAUGGGUCACCAAGGCAAAGUUAAUAAAACAUUAAAAGACGUCCAGCAGCCUGAAUAAAUACAUGGUGUUCAUCAGCAGUCCCUGGAUAUGGUGUUGAUUCUGUGUUUGAUCAUGUAUUUUCCCCUAAAGAUACUUAAUUGAACUAAAACUGGUGUGAGACUGAGUUUGUUAUGAUUGAUUGAUUCCCUAUCAGAAAACAAAAUCGCUUUGAUGUACGUGAACGAGCGGUGCUGUUUCUCAUUGUGCUCUGUGAAUUGUCUUCCCUGUUGAGCAGAGUACUUCACAGGCUGGAGCACUCUGUGAGCAGCGCACUCCUCAGCAGGCACAACACGUUUGUUGUUGUCAAUAUGGAGAUGGAAUAGAGAACUAAAUAAUUUUAAUCUCUUUAUAGGAAAGAAUGAUUCAGGGCUCCAACUUCAGACAAAUUUGGAAGUAAUUAUCUAUUCCCAGACCUACAGCUGUCCUGGGAGGCAAGAAAACAUCAUUCAGAAGCUGUGUGCUUGAAGUACCAAAGCUUUAAGGUGCUCAGGAUUGUGGUGGACUCUUGGACUGUAGAGUUGGAUGUGCAGCACUGGAGAGAGCCCGUUUUCUCUGGAUAUUAGCAGGCUGUAUGUAUCCCACCUGUUGGAGGAUGAUGGGUGUUAUAGCUGGCAAAGGCUUCAGAGAACAUGUAGAGCUGUACUGCAACUGCCUUCUGUGCAGAAGCUCAGGGCACUUUUCCCUACGUAUGUGGCACUACAACAAAGCUCGUGUGUUUCCUUUUUUAAUGGUUAUGGCAGGUGCCUCCUCUGUUCAGGAAGAGACUUUUAUGGCAGCUGUAAAGUCUAGGGGAAUUUAAUGUGUUCCAUGGAUAUACAGACACAACAACACAGGUUGUAUCUGUAUAUGGGUUGAAGUAUGUGAGGUUACUGGAACAUUUUUUUUCAGCUUUUGAUAUUUUAGGUUAUAAUAAUUUGAAGUGAAUAUUUUAGUGCACAUAAAAUGCAGAAUUGCCUCUCAAGAAUUAUUUUUUCACUGUUAGCCAGAAGUUCGCUAAGCUGUGCAGUUUAACAAUGCAUUUCUCCUCUUAGCUGAGUAUCACUCUAUGAGCCUAGGAAAUCGGUUUCUUCAUGAGUUCCAGAAUUCACAGAUAUGUGAACAAAUUCCAGCAUAGACAUAGUGUAAUAGGGCUUCUUUAAAAGCAGUUUUAAUUUCUUCUUCAUUUUUCCCUCCCAGUGAAAUGGAU